Molecule: long non-coding RNA, 3896 nt
Filed under: Mytilus galloprovincialis (Mediterranean mussel)
Lineage: Eukaryota; Metazoa; Mollusca; Bivalvia; Mytilida; Mytilidae
Source: RNAcentral
UUUUGUAUAAAAGCUUUUAUUAUUUUAUCAAGACAAUCCAGAAAAUGAGAAGGAACAUACCAAGUUCAUUUGUUUACAACUUUACCAAUGUAAAAAUAAAACAUUAAGAUAAUGCUACAUAUAGAAUAACUUCCAUCUCAAGAACACUUAAUAUGUCUUUCACAUGUUUAAAAUGACUGGUUCAGCCUUCUAUAAUGUAAAUACUCUCUGCAGUCAAACUACUGGUAAACAGACAUGUUCAACUUAAACAUCCAUAUCACACAGUUCCUUCCCUUUCUGAACUAGUCCAUGUGCAAUAUUAACGUAGGAAUAAGGUUUAAAAUAACACAAUUCAUGUAUUAGAUAUCGUAUUACAGUUCUUUUAUGUAGCAUAUAAUUUUAAACAUAAACAGAAAUACUGGCGCUAAUUACAAUCAUUGUAAGUUAGGAGUUUGGAAUGUCUUUCCAUUUUUUCUUCAAAAAAAAAAUAUUUUUAUAAAAAUCUACUUCAAAAUAUAUAUAUAUAAACAAUACCUGCUGUCCUUGACCCAAGGACUGUGGUCACAUGACUGACCUAGCAAAUCAGGAAAUUACUGUAAAGCAGAAGAUCUGGACCCAUAAGGUUCACUAAAGGGAAACCAUUUGUUGCAAUUAACUGACAGGGAAAAAUCAAUGUAUUUGUCAAAUUAUCUUUGCAAUAUAAAAUCAAACUGAAAAAGUAACAUUUAUUAAAUUUAAAGAUAACUUUAUUGUUAUACCUCACAUUUGAUAAACCUUUAGAUUACCUUACUUUGUGUCACAUUGUUGAAUAUUGAUUCCUUAUUAAACAGAUUUGUAAAGCUAUGACAUAAAAAUUUCAAUGUGACAAAACCGUCUGGUCUACAUAGUAAUUAAGAACUAAUUAGGGCACUGUUGUCAUAGCAACCACAGACUCUCCAGUCACCUGACUGACCUAGCAAACCAGCAAAAGUCACUGGUUAGGGCACUAUUGUCAUAGCGACUAGAGACACCCUCACAUGACUGUCCUAGCAAAUCUGACUACCUGAUUGGAUUAUUAAUGUUGUCAUACAACCCUCGACAUGGCAAUUCCUACAGCUGACCUGGCAAGCCAGAAAUAACAAAUAACAAACUGGCUGGGCACUAAUGCUGAAGGAAUUGACAUCUUGAAGGUGGCAGAGCAGCAUAAAAUCCCCAUCAGACAUCAGAUUAGGGCACUUUUGCCAUGGUAAUAGUGAUUAGAUCAGAGACAGCGUAGAACUAUUUUGUAUAAAAAUAUAACAAUACUUUGCCUUGGCAAUAACAAAUUGCACAGACUGGACACAUUCAAUGUUCACAAAAAAUAAAGAGUAAAAAGAAAACAAUAUAUUAUGUAGACUUUUUCAAAGUCAUACGACCAUAUGGACCACCUUUCACACGUGUACAAAUAAAAAUAAUAUGAGAACAUACACGCAGGGCAUAUAAUGUCACAUAUGGCCCUACUUAUAUUUUUCAAAGGGAAAGUUUCAAACUGCAUUUCUACUAAUAACUACACAACCUACAUUUACACUUUGACACCUACCCACUACUUUCAUUAAAAAUAUAAAAGCAAAGAGAUGAAAAAAAUAAGAUAUUCUGGCUUAAUUCUAGAUCACCUUUCAAAAAGCAAUACAUAUUGUAUGUAGUAUUUCAAAAUAUGCAAGAACAGAAAUUAGUUUUGGUUAUAUGAAACUGCUACAACUAAACAUUUUAUAGACAAUUGAUAAGAAUUAUUUCUAUUUCAUGGGAAUACAUAAUAAUAAUCAAAAAUUCUACUUUAAAUGCAUAUACAACAAUGUUUCUAAGAACAAAAAUUCUUAUAAAUCAAUAAGAAACUUUAUCUUUUUCAACUUUUACAAUAAUUACUUUAAAAACUAAUAUUGUGCUAUUAAAUGGUAAAUCAUUGUUUUUCUAUCAGAAUGUAUUGCAUGAAGUAAUUGAUGCAAUUUAUCACUUUAAUGCAAGAUACAAUAUUCAACGUUUGGUGGUAUAUAUAAAGAUAACUUUAUCUAAUUGGUAAAGAAGGCAACACAUAAACCUUUGAAAACUUGCUGAAAAAAAUCUUCUCACUUGCAACAAGAAAAGGAGAUCCUUGCUUCAGAAAAACAAUAAGGUAAAUGGAAUUUUGGAAUGACAUUAGUUGAAUUACAAAAUCACAUAUCUGAUUACAGAAAAUAAACUUUUAAAAAACAGUUACAUAAUAAACAUAUAUCAAAGAAUGUAAAGAAGCACAACCAUUUAAUAUAACCUUAUCUGUAUAUAGAACAUGUGUGUUAUUUGUGCAAUAUUAUGGAUUUAUACUGAAGAAAAGUAAUGUGUAUAAAAGUUGCAAUUAGUAUUCAUUUCUUUUCUCCAAACAUUUUAGUUGUUUAAAAUAUAUUGUACACAAUGAGAAAUACAAUGGAUAACAUUAUAAAUGGUAAUUUUCUCACUUUCUGUUAUGUUACAUACAUGAUUUGACUUUUAUUGCUAUGUUUUUUACGAUUUAAAAAAUUUAUACACUCAAGAAAUUCAGAAGUACAACAAAUUGCAUUAUAAUGUGUAUUUUUCUAAUUUUAUCUUUUAACUAAAAUUUAUUUACAUAAAAAAUGUUAUGACAAUAUUUAUAACUUUCUUCUCAUUCAAACUGAUGUAAAAUUACAGUGAUACACAUUAGAAAUAUAUCAUAGAGAACAUUGUUAGUUUGUGAAUUACUUUGAUGUUUAUGUUCGUUUGUAGGCAUAGUAUUCAUGUAAAACUACAAAUAAUAACUGAAACAUAAAUUUCAAGUGAAUAUAUACUGCCUAUAAUAAUCUAAUUUAACUCUCUAUCUUAAUUGGUAAAAUAAGAUUAUUUGGUAAAUACAAUAGACAAGCUGAAAGAAAUUCUUAAGACAAAAGUAUGUUCGAAAACAUGUAUGGCUAUAAAGUCUGAGACCUGAGCAGACAUUAAACAGAUAGUACAUGUCAAGAUAUGGAAUGAUUCUAGAUAAAUAUUUAUUUAUAAAUAAUCGCCAUAAAAUUUGAUAUGUGAAUACAUAUAAAAGUCUUUUUCCAACAGAACUGUCGCUUAAAAUUACAUGAAUUACUACAUAUAAGAGACAUUCAAUAGCCUUAUCACUAGAAGGUAAAUGACAUUCUUAUAGUUUCUAUCUUUUUCAUUUGGAGAUAAAUUACAAUUCAACUGAAUCAAAUUAAAACUUUCUCAUUGCUUAGCAAUUAUAAUUCUUACAAUAUAUCCAAUAUUAUUUUUCUUAAUGUUAAUGAAUUAAAAUGCUUUAUUAUUACCAUGCCAUUAAAAUAUACAUAUGAUUAGAAAUGCUUAUAAAGCAUUUCUAUAACUUCUAAAGAGUUAAUUCCCUUGUUAUGUAUUAUGAAAUCAACAUCAUAUCUCAUUGUUAUUAUGGUAACAUUCAAAUCUCCACAUCUAUAUAGGAUUAGGUAUGAUAAGAGCCAUUUAAAUCAUCCCUGAACAUCUAUAUAGGAUUAGGUAUGAUAAGAGCCCAUAUGUAGGUUAUGAUAAGAGCCAUUUAAAUCAUCCCUGAACAUCUAUAUAGGAUUAGGUAUGAUAAGAGCCAUUUAAAUCAUCCCUGAACAUCUAUAUAGGAUUAGGUAUGAUAAGAGCCAUUUAAAUCAUCCUGAACAUCUAUAUAGGAUUAGGUAUGAUAAGAGCCAUUUAAAUCAUCCCUGAACAUCUAUAUAGGAUUAGGUAUGAUAAGAGCCAUUUAAAUCAUCCCUGAACAUCUAUAUAGGAUUAGGUAUGAUAAGAGCCAUUUAAAAUCAUCCUGAACAUCUAUAUAGUAUUAGGUAUGAUAAGACAUUUAAAUCAUCCCUGAACAUCUAAUAUAGAUUAGGUAUGAUAAGAGCCAUUUAAAUCAUCCCUGAACAUCUAUAUAGGAUUAGGUAUGAUAAGAGCCAUUUAAA